This 497-nucleotide ribosomal RNA is filed under the name uncultured bacterium. RNAcentral's name for it is "partial 16S ribosomal RNA". It matches the Rfam family "Bacterial small subunit ribosomal RNA", at positions 28 to 507 of the family's 1533-position model. The record is from RNAcentral.
GAUGAACGCUGGCGGCGUGCCUAAUACAUGCAAGUCGAGCGAACAGACGAGGAGCUUGCUCCUUUGACGUUAGCGGCGGACGGGUGAGUAACACGUAUGUAACCUACCUAUAAGACUGGGAUAACUUCGGGAAACCGGAGCUAACACCGGAUAAUAUUUCGAACCGCAUGGUUCGAUAGUGAAAGAUGGCUUUGCUAUCACUUAUAGAUGGACCUGCGCCGUAUUAGCUAGUUGGUAAGGUAACGGCUUACCAAGGCAACGAUACGUAGCCGACCUGAGAGACUGAUAGCCCACCUUGGAACUUGGCCACGCUCCAGGCUCCUACGAGACGCCGCAGACGGCUACCUGACGCAGUAGUCGAGAGCAUUGCGGAGCGGCGCCACGUGAGUGAUGAAGGUCUUCGGAUCGUGAUACUCUGUUAUUGGGGAUGAACAACUGUCUACGUAACCGUGCACGUAUUGACGGUACCUAAUCAGAAAGCCACGGCUAACUACGUG